CCUACGGGGUGCAGCAGUGAGGAAUAUUGGUCAAUGGACGAGAGUCUGAACCAGCCAAGUAGCGUGAAGGCUGACUGCCCUAUGGGUUGUAAACUUCUUUUAUAAAGGAAUAAAACGAGGCACGUGUGCCUUUUUGCAUGUACUUUAUGAAUAAGGAUCGGCUAACUCCGUGCCAGCAGCCGCGGUAAUACGGAGGAUCCGAGCGUUAUCCGGAUUUAUUUGGUUUAACGGGAGCGUAGAUGGGUUGUUAAGUCAGUUGUGAAAGUUUUCGGCUCAACCGUAAAAUUGCAAUUGAUACUGGCAGUCUUGAGUACAGUUGAGGUAAGCGGAAUUCGUGGUGUAGCGGUGAAAUGCUUAGAGAUCACGAAGAACCCCGAUUGCGAAGGCAGCUUACUAAACUGUGACUGACAUUGAUGCUCGAAAGUGUGGGUAUCAAACAGGAUUAGAUACCCGGGUAGUC
This 460-nucleotide ribosomal RNA is filed under the name uncultured bacterium. RNAcentral's name for it is "partial 16S ribosomal RNA". It matches the Rfam family "Bacterial small subunit ribosomal RNA", at positions 338 to 795 of the family's 1533-position model. The record is from RNAcentral.